Non-coding RNA from Xylaria sp. FL0064, 91 nucleotides. The record is from the annotation of a GenBank genome assembly. NCBI's taxonomy places the organism in Eukaryota, Fungi, Ascomycota, Sordariomycetes, Xylariales, Xylariaceae.
UCUCGAUUGGUCUAGUGGUAAGGAUACCUGCUUGUCAUUUCUUCUGUUAUUAGGUCCGCAGGUGGCCGGGGUUCGAUUCCCCGAUCGAGAG